UUGUCUCCAUUGACAAGAUUAGCGUGAGAGUAGCCAUCACAUACAGGAUCGGUGUGAUAGUCCUUAUCGAAAAAUCGAUUUCCUUUGUGUUUUUAUUGUCUUCUUCUCCAUUUGUAUUGGUUGCGAUUCUGUGAUUUCUUUCUGUUAUUCUACAAUUUCUUUUUGUUUUAGUAUUUCAUUUUUGUAUAAGCAUAUUAGCGACUUAAAUUCUUGUCGGAAAACUAUCACCAUUAUGGAUGUUAUUUAUGCUCUGAAGAGAUAAGGUAGAACUCUCGAUUCUGUUUGGAUUGAUAUUGAUACAAUAUAUCCAUAUUAUUUAUGCUCUGAAGAGACAAGGUGGAACUCUCGAUUCUGUUUGGAUUGA
RNAcentral lists this long non-coding RNA (364 nucleotides) under Jatropha curcas. Its description in RNAcentral is "long non-coding RNA (JCUR_LNC001348)". Lineage: Eukaryota; Viridiplantae; Streptophyta; Magnoliopsida; Malpighiales; Euphorbiaceae. The record is from RNAcentral.